GACGAACGCUGGCGGCGUGCUUAACACAUGCAAGUCGAGCGGUAAGGCCCUUUCGGGGGUACACGAGCGGCGAACGGGUGAGUAACACGUGGGUGACCUGCCCUCAGCUCUGGGAUAAGCCUGGGAAACCGGGUCUAAUACCGGAUAUGACUCCAUGACGCAUGUUGUGGGGUGGAAAGCCUUGUGCGGCUGGGGAUGGGCCCGCAGCCUAUCAGCUUGUUGGUGGGGNGAUGGCCUACCAAGGCGACGACGGGUAGCCGGCCUGAGAGGGCGACCGGCCACACUGGGACUGAGACACGGCCCAGACUCCUACGGGAGGCAGCAGUGGGGAAUCUUGCGCAAUGGGCGAAAGCCUGACGCAGCGACGCCGCGUGAGGGAUGACGGCCU
This 388-nucleotide ribosomal RNA is filed under the name uncultured bacterium. Its description in RNAcentral is "bacterial SSU rRNA". It matches the Rfam family "Bacterial small subunit ribosomal RNA", at positions 28 to 417 of the family's 1533-position model. The record is from RNAcentral.